RNAcentral lists this ribosomal RNA (480 nucleotides) under uncultured bacterium. RNAcentral's name for it is "bacterial SSU rRNA". It matches the Rfam family "Bacterial small subunit ribosomal RNA", at positions 32 to 521 of the family's 1533-position model. The record is from RNAcentral.
AAUCAACGCUGGCGGCGUGCCUCAGACAUGCAAGUCGAACGAUUAAAGCUCUCUUCGGAGAGUGUAUAGAGUGGCGCACGGGUGAGUAACACGUAAGUAAUCUACCUUUGAGUGGGGAAUAACAGUCGGAAACGGCUGCUAAUACCGCAUAACGCAGCGGCACCGCAAGGUGACAGUUGUUAAAGGAGCAAUCCGCUUAAAGAGGAGCUUGCGGCAGAUUAGCUGUUGGUAAGGUAACGGCUUACCAAGGCUACGAUCUGUAUCCGGUCUAAGAGGACGGUCGGACACACUGACACUGAAUAACGGGUCAGACUCCUACGGGAGGCGGCAGUCGGGAAUUUUGGGCAAUGGGCGAAAGCCUGACCCAGCAACGCCGCGUGAAGGAUGAAGUAUUUCGGUAUGUAAACUUCGAAAGAAUAGGAAGAAUAAAUGACGGUACUAUUUAUAAGCUCCGGCUAACUACGUGCCAGCAGCCGCCGU